RNAcentral lists this ribosomal RNA (479 nucleotides) under uncultured bacterium. RNAcentral describes it as "partial 16S ribosomal RNA". It matches the Rfam family "Bacterial small subunit ribosomal RNA", at positions 28 to 507 of the family's 1533-position model. The record is from RNAcentral.
GAUGAACGCUAGCGGGAGGCCUAACACAUGCAAGCCGAGCGGUAGAGUUUCUUCGGAAACUUGAGAGCGGCGCACGGGUGCGUAACACGUGUGCAACCUACCUUUAUCUGGGGGAUAGCCUUUCGAAAGGAAGAUUAAUACCCCAUAAUAUAAUGAUUGGCAUCAAUUAUUAUUGAAAACUCCGGUGGAUAGAGAUGGGCACGCGCAAGAUUAGAUAGUUGGUGAGGUAACGGCUCACCAAGUCAAUGAUCUUUAGGGGUCCUGAGAGUGAGAUCCCCCACACGGGUACUGAGACACGGACCAGACUCCUACGGGAGGCAGCAGUGAGGAAUAUUGGACAAUGGGUGAGAGCCUGAUCCAGCCAUCCCGCGUGAAGGAUGACGGUCCUAUGGAUUGUAAACUUCUUUUGUACAGGGAUAAACCUACACUCGUGAGGGUAGCUGAAGGUACUGUACGAAUAAGCACCGGCUAACUCCGUG